CAGGGACCCACUUCCCUCCCUCUUCUCUUCCUCAUGUUGCUUUAUUCCAGUGGCUGGACAGCAAGCCUUGGAGAGGCUCUCUUGCUGCUGCUCACCACUCCACCAUCUUUCCCUCUCUCCCCCAAUUUCAGGUACUUCUGUCUGACAUCUUUCUGAGGAUUCCAUAUUCUUGUUGAAUCUGUCAUUCAAAUUUUGAACUGUUUUGGUUAGCUCAUCCAGUUAUUUACUUAUUUACCCAAAAUUCACUGUGGGCAGAUUGAGUAUAAUUGCUGUAAACUUUUAAUUCAUUUCCUCUUUGAACAUUUCUGUUAGUUGGUCUUUGUUUUUUCUCCCUUUGUGACCUUUUGCUCUGCGUUGGAGGAGUUUGGGUGGUGGUGGUCGGAGAUCUUCUAUUUCUGUGUUUCCCUGUUCUCCUACUUGUGUCUGUAUUUAUUUGUUUAUGUAUCUGUGUCUAUAUAUCCCUUUUGGAAGCACUGAGCUACAUCCCUGGCCCAACUGUUUAUUGUUCGUAGCUGCUCUGCAGUGAGGCGGGAGAGGUGAGGUGGAGGAUGCGGGUGUCUGCAGGGGUAGUGUUAGGCGCUAAGGAAGAGGUUUGAAACGGAGACGAGUGGUAGAUGAAAAGAAAAGAUACAUCAAGAGUCCGAUUUUAUUGGAGUACUUUUAGCUGAGUUGAUGGUUCAGUAUUACGAGUUUUCAGAGCAUAUUCUGUGUGGGCAAGGGUGAGAUAUAGGAGCAAGGGGCUUCACUUUGAGAUUAAGGAAAGCUAUGUGGUUAUCAGAACUUGCAUAUAGGGAAGACAGUAAACUAGGGAAGAUAUGAAAGAGCCAAAGGCUUAGGAUGGGGAGGAUCAAGGAAUUAUACUAGUGAAGAUAGGCGUGACUGUGAGGGAGCUGAGCACAGUGAAUUUAAAAACUUGGAAGGAGGAGUUUACAUGUUUGGAAAAAUAAUAAAGGUAUAUGUUAAUAACAUUGUCUCUGGGCAUUGAAGUGAAGAAACUAGAUAAAGAGCUGAGAUGAAGGAGAGAACCUAGACACCUAUUGAAAUCAGGGCCAAUGAAAGAAUAAAUAUACAAGAGUAGCAACCUAAUAUACACAUGGAACCAUGAAAGACAUAACCCCACUUUACUAAAUAACUCAAGAAACAUAAAAAACUUAAACCAAGAAGAUGUCUGAUGGGAACACAGAUUAGAUAUUCCAAUGAGACACUGCACGUGAUUCUCAAGCAGCUUCUUUGCCAGAGAGUCUGAGUGCUCACAUCCCAAUUAUUCCUCCGAUCACUCCACUGCAAUACUGAAGUUAACUCAGAGUCAAGACCUCUUUCUGCCACAUUGCAAGCAUCCUUGCACAGUGUGAUCCAGACUGAGUUCUUGGGUUAGGAACUUGUUGACCUCCUCGCUGGGUAUGAUGGUGGAUUCAGUAGACAAGUUCACCGGCACUAAAUUGUCCACUGAGUCAAGAUUAUUCCUCUGCAAUCAAUUCAACAACAGCAGUAAUGGGCUAAUCCAUUGCAGUGGUAUCUAUGAAGGAUAGUUGAGGAAUAACAUACCAUAACACCCUGUUUGGGGUCACCCUUUACCAGUAGGAACAUGGCACCAAUAUGAGCCUCCAACACUGUGUAACUCAGGCUGAAACUGACAUCUGACCACAGGAACUGAGUCUAUGAUCAUCAGUUCCUGCCUCAGUUCCAGACACAGGAUUUCCCCCAGUCUGCUUUCCAACUGCCACUGUUCCAGAAAUCUCAGAGAGAAAUACACGGAGACACAGAAUUUGGAUAAAAUAAUAAAAUUUCUUCUCGCGAGCAGGUGGGAAAGCCAGAAUCCGGUCUGGCUAGUGUCCGUUCCCUUUGUUCAGUGUUUCCCUUUUUAAAUACUUUUUAGCCAUUAUCUCAUCCCUAGUGGUCUUUGAUGUGUAAGUACAAUCCCAGUUCCCAUUCACAAGUCACAGACACAAGAUACAUUGUAAAUUCACCCUGGCAUGGUAACUUUGUAAGCUUAAUGAAGUUACCGGUUAGAGUCAGAUAAUCGUCACCUUAAACAAGUAGUUAUGGGAAAAGCAAAUCUUAAAAGAACACAUUACUUAUUUUGCUUCUACAACUACCUUAAUAUUCAGUCUGUUAAGUUAUCUGAAACUUUUCCGUAUCACCGCCUACCUCCUAUGACUGUCCUUCCCUCAUCCACUCUGAGAAUUUGGCAAGGCGAAGUGGCCAAUGGGCUGUUCUGGAACUGAGGUUCCAACAGCCAGCCUUUCCCUGCAAUGGCAUCCUUGCCAACUCCUGCUCUGUGUGGCUGCGUCCUGAGGCACGUGUACCACAGUCACUCACUAACUGUUGACUCUAGAGGGCUGCUUGGGAAGCAGUCUUAUGUUCUUCCCAACUGCCUCAACUGUGUCAGAGUCUCUUGGUCCCUACGCAGUUCUCUGUGAGCAGAGAAGUUAUUAGCUUCACGUUGCCUCCCAGCUGGCAGCCAGCCAGCCGCCCUCUGGUGUUGUUUUGCCAUGUGGGCCACCUCUUCUGUAUCGCUUAGUUCUAUUUUCUUCUCCUCUGUCAGUUCCCUCAAGGUUCCUGUGUCCUUCCCCUCACUGUUUCCUCUCCGAGCCACUGCCCAGACUCCAGACCCUUUGUCCUGGGGAAGCAAAGCUGCUGGCCCUUGCUGCUCGGCCAUCUAGUGGAGGUCACUCUGAAUCUUUCUUUUUAUAAGGGCAUAAAGCUAUGUAGAUUUUCUUCUAUAACUUUUCAAAUUUUGCAUUUCAAUUAAUGAACUUUCUUUAGUGACAUUUUGAACUCAUUAUAUAAUUUGUGUCCAUGCAUUUUUUUUCUCUCAAGGAUUCCAAAUGGUUCACUUUUUCCACAGUUCUGUAUCUAUUUGUGGAACAGACUCCUCUCUCCAUUAAGUGGCCUCUGACAAAGUCAGUUGAUCUUAUUUAUUUGGGUCUACCUUGGGCUAUGAAUUCUGCUCUAUGUAGCUACUGUUCUGUUCCUUCCCCAGUACCACACUCUUAUUACUGAGCUUUACAAUAAGUGCUCAGUGUAGAUUCUUGAAUUCUUCUUUUUCAGUCUUAUACCAUACAUUCUGCUUUUAGAACGAGUACGUUGCUGUGAUAGUUGUGGUGUCACUUUGAAUAAGAAAUGCCUAGCAGAUUGGUUUAGCACAGUUCUGGGUGUGUCUGGAUGAUUGACUUACUGAAGAGGAAAGACCCAACCUUGGGUGUGGGUGGCACUGACCAACAAGGUUAUGGCCUAGAUGGAAUAAAAAGGGAAAGAAGGAAGCCUUGCUUCUGCUUCUAAGGAGCUCCAGUCUUUGCUGUUGCCUUUGGACAUCCAUCUUCAGGCUUCCAGGGCAGACUCUUUAGCCUUCUAAUGCAGACCCCUAGGGUUCUCUGUGUGGACUCACAUGGGACUCUGAAGUGAGCUCCAUGCCUUUGACUUUUUUUCUCAGCUAUGUUUAUUUUUCCUUUAUUUUUAAAUUGAUUUUAUUGGUAUAAUUUAAAUAUAUAUAAAUAGCACAUUCAUCAAAGUGAAUUUGUACCUGUAUAUGGUAUAUCUUGAUUCCUCUUUUUUCCCAAUCCCUUCCCCUUUAUUCCACUUCCCUCCCCUCCUUAUUUAUGAAAACUUUGUUUCCAUUUUUUCCUUCUUUUCUCAUUUUUUUCUUUUCCCUUCCUUUUUUUCCUGCCCCUCUUUAGUUUCCCUUUCCUUUUGAAUAAUUGCUUCCUAUUUCACAUUAUCUAUUAUACAUUUUGGUCUUUAUUUAUCCUUUCAGUUUCUCACACCAGAGAGACAAUGUGAUAUUUACACUUGUCCGAUUUAUUUCACUUAAGGGUGUGGUCUCAAGGUGCAUCCAUUUAGCUAGAAAUGUCUCAAGUUUGUCUUUCUUUAUGGCUGAGUAGUACUCCAUUGUAUUAAAAAAACACAUCUUUUUUAUCCAUUCAUUCGUUGAUGGGCAUUUGGGUUGUUUCCAAGAUUUAGCUAUUACAAACUGUCACUCUAAACAUGGGUGUGCAUAUAUUGCUGUGGUAUGAUUCUUUUAAUUCUUUCAGGAAGAUCCCCAGCAGGGGAGUGCCUUUGACUUUUGACUGGGUCCUCCAGCUCUCCAGUGCAUAGACAGCCCUUUUGCAUUCUUCCACCCCUGACUCUGCAGGCAGCCAUUGUAAGCCUACCGUGUCAAUAUCUAGUAUCUAUCAUCUAUCUCAUCUAUUUCUCUAGUGAGCCCUAACUGAUAGUUGGCAUCUUUGGUGGGAAUUUGAUUGGGAUUCUGCUGGAUCUAUAGAUCAAGUUAGAGGAAUUGUCAUAAUAACAAAAAUGAUUGUACGCUUGAAUCAGUCAAUGUUUCUAGAGAAACAGAUAUAACACAAGAUCUAAAAAUAUAUAUGGAUUUACAAGAUUGGCUUAUAAGGGCCAACCAUAGAGUUGGAUGUGGAAGAGCGCAGAGGGUCUUUCUGCAUGCUAGAUACCAAAGGAUUCAGUGGAAGGUCUGGAGCUCACUUCAGUGUCCUGUGUGAGUCUCUAUCAGGAGGCCAAUGGGGUCUGUGAUGGAGGUUUGAAGAGUCUAUGCCGGAAGCCUGAAGGAUCUGCACCAGAAGCUGAAGAAUCUGCACAGGAAGCCAGGAAAUGACAUCCAAGGCGACAAGCUGCCCUAGGGCGUGGAAUUGCUGAACCAGUGUAGUUGGGCUGCUCUUACUCAAGUUAACACAGUCAGUCAACCAGUGCACUGCUGCUAAACAAAGGGUAUCUCUGCAUUUAUUUAUGUUUCCUUUGCUUCCUUUUACCCAUGUUUCAGUUUUCUGAAUGCAUAUUUGUAUAUACAGAAUCUGCCGCAAAAUGUCUACAUCGGGAAAAGAAAAAGUCGAAUAAAUAUUUUAAUACUGAGUUUACGGAGAGACCAUGAGGUUCGUGCAAAUUUGCCUCUCCAUUUAUAAGAGGUGCUCAAAGUGGUGGGCAUUGGCAGCGUUUGUGGUUAGAUUCCAGCUCUUCAGGCUCUAGGACGGGAUGUAUUAUACAUGAUGUUUAAACUCCUCAUUUCCAUCCCUCUUUUCCCCACCUCCCUCCUCUCCUUUCCAUUUCUCUUUUGUUUUCUCCCCUGAGGGACAGGUACCGAACCCUGGGCCUUGUGCAUCCCAGUCAAGCCUUCCAUCACUGAGCUGUGCCCCAGCCCAUUUUAAAAGCUGCUGCAGGUCUAUCUUGCAGAAUAGCGAUGUCCAUUCUGGGCACUCAGUAGGUGUAUACGCCACGUUCCGCUCAUUUUCAGUUCCUCUGCUUCCUCUUUCCCCCUUCCCUUGAUUCUCUUUCCUGUCUCCAAGAGUCCACCUUCUUAAAAAUUUUAGCCGGGCGUGCUGCUACUUGCCUGUAAUCCCAGGGCUUGGGAGUCAGAGGCAGGAAGACUGCAGUGAGUUCAAGGUCAGCCUGCGCCUCAAAGUAAGACCCUGUCUCAAAAACCCAAAAAUUAAAAAAUAAUUCCACUCGUUCCUAUAUUGUGGAUCUGUAGGUCAUCAAUUGACUUUUGUCUUCUGGACUUCUACUUUGGUUCUGGUUAUCUCUAUCAUUUAUUUUGUGUUGCUAUAACUGAGGACUUUAGACUAAAGUAAUUAAUAAGUAAAGUAAGCGUUUGUUGUUGUUUUUUUUUUGGUACGGGGAAUCGAACUUGGUUCCUUGCGCUUGCUUGCGCAGCAGGCGGCGAAACCACUGAGCUAAAUCCCUGGCCCAAGUAAGUGUAUUUUUACAAUUCUGGAUACUAGAAAGUCCAAGGUUGAGGUACUGCCUCUGUUAAGGAUCUACUUGCUAGUAGGGACUGAGCCCUGAAGUGGUGCUCAAUGUAAUUGGUGAGAAAAAUUGUGCCAGAGAAAGCUUGCUUUUAUAACAAAACCACUCCCUUGAUACCUUGUUGAUCCAUUAUUUAUGAAUGUGUUCAUUCUUUUUUUUUGUACUGGGGAUUGAACUCGGGACCUUGCGCUUGCGAGGCAGGAGGUGGAACCACUGAGCUAAAUCUCCAUCCCCGAAAGUAUUCAUUCUUAUUAGCAGAGCCCUUAAAACGAAAUCACCUCCCAAAGUUUCCAUUAGAAUAUGACUUUGGGGGUGAAGUCUGCACCUCAUGAAUUCUAUUUUUGUUUUGUUUUAAGACAGGGUCUUCCUAUGUAGCUCAGGCUGGCCUUGAAGCCUUUGGAAUGCCAGGAUUACAGGCGUGGGCCACCAUACCCAGCUAUACCACUUGAAUUCUGGAGAAUGAACUUUUCAAUCCACAGCACCACCCAUUCAGAUCAGGGCAUGGUGGGCUCUAUUUCAGUUUCCAUGUCCAAAGUUAUGAUAUUUAGGAGUGGGUGCAAUCCUGCUAAACAGUGCCAGGGACUGCCCUGUGUUGAGCCCCAGAGCCUCCUUCUCCAGGGGCCCCAGUGUACUGGCCCCUCAUGGUCAUCAGCAUCCACAGUGAGGACCGAGCCUUCUACUCCUCCUUGGGACUGGCCCUGGAGACACCCUGGCAGCUUCCUGAUGAAGGGGCCCACAAAGGAGGAAAAGGUAGGGAAGUCAGAAUAAAGCCUCCUGUGCUCAAGAGAGCUUCUGGUGUGUUUGUCUCUUUCUUGGGUAAUAGUUUAGCAAAGUUCACUUUACAAUGGCAACCCUUCAUGGAGGUUGUGACCACUCAUCUUUAUAACAUACUGAUUGCAAUUUGUUUCUGGAGGGAAGUCUGGGCACACAAACAGGAGAAAUGCUGGGACAGUCUUGGCGAAAGCUGGGGUGCUGCCAUAUAGUCAUCCUUGAACUGGAGGGCAAAGGGCCAAGUCCAUCCUAUUACUUGGUUUUCUUGAUGUUUUAAUGAUUCAUUUUCCUUACAGUGUUAAAGUAGUAGGGGAAGUUGAAUAGUAGAUGUGUUAAAUUUGGCAACAUUAUCUAAGUCUAAAUGCAUCAUUUAUACUAAAGCCAGAAUUUGUUAAAAAUAUAUUUUGUGGCUUUUAUGGGGGAGGUAAAUUUAUCAGCUACACUUUUUCUUUUGCUACAGUUUAGCAUAAUCUUUCUAAUGAUGCACAAAAUAAUGUCUGGUGUGUAAACAUUGCCAUCCUAGAUAAAAUGUCUUGACUGUAUUAAGAUAUAUUAUAAUAUAAAAUGAAUUUAAGAAAGCCACCUCUUUUUUUCUACAUCUUCAUCAUUUUAUAUAAAAUCAGACUUUGUUAAAAGUCAGGGAACACUCAUAUGUGAUCCCAGUAUUUCUAAGAUCUUUCCAAUGGGCAAGCUCUAAGCAUCUUCCAAGCUUUUUUGUGCCAUUUGGUCUAUUUAUAGUUUCCUUAUUUUUGAUUUCUUUUUGUUAAUAUGUAUUUUUACUGGGAAACCACCCAUUUCCUCUAGGCUCCAUUUUAAUCCAAUAGAUUCAUCAUAUUUGACUGUUAAUUUUAUUUCCCGUUUUAGUUUUCUGUGGAAUUCUUUUUUUUUUUCAGUACUGGGGUUGGAACUCAAGGGCCUUUUGCACGCUAGGCAUGUACUGUACCACUGAGCUACAGUCACAGCCAGAAUUCAUAAUCCUAAGUACUUCUGCUAUAUUUUAUCAACAGUAUUUAGAAAAAUAUGCUUUUUAGCCUAUCUUGUUUUUGAUUGAGAGAAUUGUCUUGUUUGAAAAGUUCUCAUGAUUGGGACCAGGGAUGUAGCUCAGUGGCACUAUGCCUGCCUGGCAAGCACAAGUUCCUGAGUUUGAACCCUGGUGCCAAAAAAAAAAAAAAAAAGAAAAGAAAGAAAAUUUCUCAUGAUAAUCUUAAAUGAUUUUAAUUAAUUUCUGCUUAAUAAAACAUCUUUGAAUUGGUGGUGUGGCUCAGUAGUAGAGAGCUUCCCUAGCAGGCACGAGGCCCUGAGUUCCAUCCCAACACCACAAAAAAUGUCUUUGGCAGGAAAUUGUUUUUAAAGAUUAUAUACUUAUAUACACAAACAUUACAGGAUUUACAUGAGAAACCACUGCGGAACUAAUGCUUUUUAACAUUACUCAGAGUGUUUUAUAGAGAAUAAUCCAAAGUGAAAACGAUACUUUAUUUGUGUAUAUGUUUAAAGUGACAAGAUACUGUUUUUUUGUUUUGUUUUGGAGAGGUAGUAGGAUUAUAUUCAAUGUUUACUUCUUUUUUCAUUAACAAAAUUUGAGAUUUUUAAAAGGUAGACAUCACUGAUGUAAUUAAACUCUGAAAUCACCUCUUGCUCUGCUGUUAUUCCUAGUACUUAUGUUAAAUCAUGUCAUCAGUUCCUGCUGUGUCAGAUCUGCAAGAGGCCCUGUGUACUAGUGAGCAGCCGCCUCUGCUACAUGUUCCCAUUACCACUGUCCUCUGCUUCCACUCAGGAUCAAAGCAACAGAGCCAACUGAUCGUGAUGAAACUCCUGAAACCAUGAGCCAAAAUAAACAUUUCCUCCUGUAGAUUACUUUUCUCAGGUAUAUUACACAGCGACAGAAAGCUAACACAGAUGGAUCAUUUAUAUACUACUAAAAAUGGAAUUAAAUAAGAAAUGUGCCUAAGAAUGUUCAUAAAGCCUUCAGUCAUAAUGACCAAACUAGGAAGUAGCCCAGAUGUCUUUCAAUAGUAAAAUGGGUGAAGAAAUUGAAAUGCAUGCAUACAAUAGAAUACUAUUCAGCACUACAAAAGUCCAAACUUUGUAGUACAUACGCUGUGUGAAUCUCCCAAACUGUUCUGUUUUGUUUUGUUUUCUGGUACCAGGGAUCAAACUCUGGACCUUGUGUUUGCGAGGUAGGCGCUGGAACCAGUGAGCUACAUCCCUGGCCCAGUCUUGCAAACUUUGUAGGGAGGGAGGUGGCUGGGCAAAAAUAAUAUAUAUUGUCUGAUUGUAAGCAAAGGAACCCAUGGUGAGAAGAGUCACAGCAGUAACUCUCAUCUGUGAGCACAAAAAAUGCCAGAAAGGAACACAAGAUAAUUUUCUAGAGAAGAUGAAAGUAUUCUUAAAAGUAGCGAAGAUUUUACGGGUGUAUUUGUUAAAGUGAUACAGUUACAAUUUAUGCGUUUCAAUAUACAUGUGUACUUCUGGGCACAGAAAAAAGAAAAGAACUUUAAAAAUUAAGUUUUGGAGAUAGUGAAUAAGUUGAAGGUUAGAGAAACAAAAACUAGCACAUGGUUAGUAAUUAUUGAAGCUGAGUGACAGGUCUAUUAUUCAAUUUAUUUUAUGUACUUUUAAUAUUUUUUGUAAUAAAACACUUGUAUAAAAAGUCUAAAUUGGCCAGGUGUGGUUGUGCACGCCUGUAAUCCCAGCACUUGGGAGGCUGAAGCAGGAGGAUUGCCACAAGUUUGAGGCCAGCCUGGACUACACAGUGAGUUCAAGGCUAGCCUGAGCUACAUACAAAACAAAAACAACAAAAUCAACUACAAAAAAGUCCAAGUUGAUCUACGAUGUUACCUUGUAGAGAGAAGCUGCUCCAUUUCCUGGUUGUGUAAGUGUGUUCACUUUGUAAUAUUUGCAGUAUUGUACUCUAC
Molecule: long non-coding RNA, 9437 nt
Filed under: Heterocephalus glaber (naked mole-rat)
Lineage: Eukaryota; Metazoa; Chordata; Mammalia; Rodentia; Bathyergidae
Description: lncRNA (ENSHGLG00100045973.1)
Source: RNAcentral